CCAUCAAAUUCCUAUCUUUGGUAGAAUUGUCUAUUAAACAUUGUCACAAGUUGAGUACUUUUGCUCAGGGAGUUGUAAGCGCACCAAGGCUACCACAAGCAUUUGUAAAGGAAGGAGAAAGAGGUAAAAUGAUUUGGAAGAAGGAUAUUAACAACACAAUAAAUCACUUGCAUAGAGAAAGGAUAUGCUCAGUUUACUGUUAAAAAAUGAUGCUAUAUACUGGGGGGCUUCAUGAAGCGGAGAAUGCUCAGCUUUCUGAACCAAAAUG
RNAcentral lists this unclassified non-coding RNA (268 nucleotides) under Hevea brasiliensis (rubber tree). The record is from RNAcentral. Lineage: Eukaryota; Viridiplantae; Streptophyta; Magnoliopsida; Malpighiales; Euphorbiaceae.